Molecule: ribosomal RNA, 253 nt
Filed under: uncultured bacterium
Lineage: Bacteria
Description: partial 16S ribosomal RNA
Rfam family: Bacterial small subunit ribosomal RNA
Source: RNAcentral
UACGUCGGGGGCUAGCGUUGUCCGGAUUUAUUGGGCGUAAAGAGCGUGUAGGCGGCCAGGUAGGUCUGGUGUGAAAACUCGAGGCUUAACCUCGAGAUGUCAUCGGAAACCAUUUGGCUAGAGUCCGGAAGAGGAAAGUGGAAUUCCUGGUGUAGCGGUGAAAUGCGCAGAUAUCAGGAAGAACACCAAUGGCGAAAGCAGCUUUCUGGGACGGUACUGACGCUGAGACGCGAAAGCGUGGGGAGCGAACAGG